UAAUUAGUUACGUCUAGCCAUGUCCUCCCUUUGCCUUACAGUUCUAGAAUUAUAUUAUAGAGCCUGAUAGCAUUAUCACAGUCGGUAUGGUUUGAUCUUUCACUCUACGAUGUAAAGCUUUUCAGGAGAAAAACUUAUAUUCGUAACCUACAUGUUAUUGUCGUAUUUGUAUGUUUUUGUCCUGUGAUCUGUUCUGUGUCCUCGUCCUCCUUUCAUCUAUAUGUUUUGCAUGUUGUCUGCAGAAACCUGAGGAGAAACCGAAAUCAACUCUCGGUCUGAAAAAACCAUCAGUCAAGGAACCUGUAAAGAAACCAGAUGCCCCUGAAACAAAAGUUGAUUCCGCUGAGGUUGACGAUGAGGAAACAGCUAGUAGUAGAUCAGACGGGAGCUCCGAAGAGGAAGAAGAUACUUUCGAUGAGUCAGACAA
RNAcentral lists this long non-coding RNA (427 nucleotides) under Bemisia tabaci. RNAcentral's name for it is "lncRNA ENSASIAIIG006968". The record is from RNAcentral. Lineage: Eukaryota; Metazoa; Arthropoda; Insecta; Hemiptera; Aleyrodidae.